Molecule: non-coding RNA, 334 nt
Organism: Biomphalaria pfeifferi
Lineage: Eukaryota; Metazoa; Mollusca; Gastropoda; Planorbidae
Source: the annotation of a GenBank genome assembly
GCCCCAAUAGAGGUCAAGCCCCCAGGUCCCCCAAAUGAUGUCAAAUUCCUAGCUACGCCCCUGUAUCUGUAUCAAUCCAUCCCUGUUGCAUAGAAUAAGGAUUUGGAGUUUGUUGCCUAAAAUAGAUAUGUUACAUUCCUUCAAUAUCUUAGAAUUUAAGAAAAGAAUUAUGGGACCAAUACCACUUCUCAAGCCUUUGAGCUACUACGUCACAAAGGGGAAACAAACUGUGCAAGUUAACAAUUAUAGUCUAACAUUGUUGCUACAGUGUCCACAAGAUCAUCUUUCUUAUAUCCACAUAUUUUUUAACAAUAUUGGCUAUUCUUUUUUUUUU